CUUCGCUUGUAUGGCAUCUCAUAUCAAAGUCCAUGCUAUGCAUGUAGCUGUUGGGAUCAUGGAAAGUGGUGGCAACAACACUGGAUGACUUCGAUUUGGUGGUGCAUCUCAAGCAUCGGUCUUGAGCUCUGGGGCAUUGCUAGGACUUGUUCUUCGUGGUGAAAACACAUGAUCAGGCCUUGGUUGACUCCGGCGACAACGGCGCAUGAGCGUUGUUCCCUUCCUAAAGGAACGGAGGCAGUAGCAAGGCAGGGACUGGUUGCAUCUACACUUGUAUGCUGAAAACCCCCACAUUUUGCAUCCGGGAGCAGAGCAGAGCGGGAGAUCUGACAGCAGGAGGAGAGGAUAGAGUGGAUGGGGAUUG
Molecule: long non-coding RNA, 364 nt
Organism: Triticum aestivum (bread wheat)
Lineage: Eukaryota; Viridiplantae; Streptophyta; Magnoliopsida; Poales; Poaceae
Exons: 3
Source: RefSeq, a predicted model, not a curated record